UAUUCUGCCCCACGGGGAAGGAUGAGAAGCUUCGACUACGGUUCGACUCGAGCGUAGCGAGAGAACGUUGCCGCAGGCCACGGCCCGAAGGGCGAGGCGCGUUAGCGCCGAGUCAUCCUUCCCCCACCAUUC
RNAcentral lists this small RNA (132 nucleotides) under Klebsiella quasipneumoniae. RNAcentral's name for it is "RtT sRNA". It matches the Rfam family "RtT RNA". Rfam says of the family: This family represents a bacterial cis-regulatory element known as RtT RNA. The exact function of RtT is unknown although it is thought that it may be involved in changing the cellular response in relation to amino acid starvation. Lineage: Bacteria; Pseudomonadati; Pseudomonadota; Gammaproteobacteria; Enterobacterales; Enterobacteriaceae. The record is from RNAcentral.